Molecule: ribosomal RNA, 244 nt
Filed under: uncultured bacterium
Lineage: Bacteria
Description: partial 16S ribosomal RNA
Rfam family: Bacterial small subunit ribosomal RNA
Source: RNAcentral
UAACGCGUGGGGCAACCUGCCCCAUAGAGGGGGACAACAGCUGGAAACGGCUGCUAAUACCGCAUAACAAGGAGAGAGCGCAUGUUCUUUUCUUCAAAGAUUUAUCGCUAUGGGAUGGACCCGCGUCUGAUUAGCUAGUUGGUGAGGUAACGGCUCACCAAGGCGACGAUCAGUAGCCGGCUUGAGAGAGUGAACGGCCACAUUGGGACUGAGACACGGCCCAGACUCCUACGGGAGGCAGCAG